Homo sapiens (human) is the source of this 48-nucleotide non-coding RNA. NCBI's taxonomy places the organism in Eukaryota, Metazoa, Chordata, Mammalia, Primates, Hominidae. The record is from Rfam.
AAAAAGGCUUUUUUUUUAAAGCCACCAUUUCAGUCCAUUAUAGUAACU